This 486-nucleotide ribosomal RNA is filed under the name uncultured bacterium. Its description in RNAcentral is "partial 16S ribosomal RNA". It matches the Rfam family "Bacterial small subunit ribosomal RNA", at positions 28 to 507 of the family's 1533-position model. The record is from RNAcentral.
GAUGAACGCUAGCGGCAGGCUUAACACAUGCAAGUCGAGGGGCAGCGCGGGAUAGCAAUAUCCUGGCGGCGACCGGCGGACGGGUGCGUAACGCGUGAGCGACAUGCCCGUUGCCCGGGGACAACCGGUGGAAACGCCGACUAAUCCCCGAUGGGAUACGAUGCUUCAUGGCAUUGUAUUGAAAGUUACGGCGGCGACGGAUUGGCUCGCGUCCGAUUAGCUGGUUGGCGGGGUAACGGCCCACCAAGGCUGCGAUCGGUAGGGGUUCUGAGAGGAAGGCCCCCCACAAUGGGACUGAGACACGGCACAUACUCCUACGGGAGGCAGCAGUGAGGAAUAUUGGUCAAUGGGCGGAAGCCUGAACCAGCCAUGCCGAGUGCGGGAAGGAGGCCAUAUGGGCUGUGAACCGCUUUUGCCUGGGGGCAAUAAGGGCGUCGCGCACGUCCGAUGAGAGUACCAGGCGAAUAAGCAUCGGCUAACUCCGUG